AUUGAACGCUGGCGGCAUGCCUUACACAUGCAAGUCGAACGGUAACGCGGGGCAACCUGGCGACGAGUGGCGAACGGGUGAGUAAUAUAUCGGAACGUGCCCAGUCGUGGGGGAUAACUGCUCGAAAGAGCAGCUAAUACCGCAUACGACCUGAGGGUGAAAGCGGGGGAUCUUCGGACCUCGCGCGAUUGGAGCGGCCGAUAUCAGAUUAGGUAGUUGGUGGGGUAAAGGCCUACCAAGCCGACGAUCUGUAGCUGGUCUGAGAGGACGACCAGCCACACUGGGACUGAGACACGGCCCAGACUCCUACGGGAGGCAGCAGUGGGGAAUUUUGGACAAUGGGCGCAAGCCUGAUCCAGCCAUUCCGCGUGCAGGAUGAAGGCCUUCGGGUUGUAAACUGCUUUUGUACAGAACGAAAAGGCUCUGGUUAAUACCCGGGGCUCAUGACGGUACUGUAAGAAUAAGCACCGGCUAACUACGUGCCAGCCGCCGCCGUAA
This 498-nucleotide ribosomal RNA is filed under the name uncultured bacterium. RNAcentral's name for it is "partial 16S ribosomal RNA". It matches the Rfam family "Bacterial small subunit ribosomal RNA", at positions 30 to 523 of the family's 1533-position model. The record is from RNAcentral.